RNAcentral lists this ribosomal RNA (468 nucleotides) under uncultured bacterium. RNAcentral describes it as "partial 16S ribosomal RNA". It matches the Rfam family "Bacterial small subunit ribosomal RNA", at positions 28 to 507 of the family's 1533-position model. The record is from RNAcentral.
GACGAACGCUGGCGGCGUGCUUAACACAUGCAAGUCGAACGGAAAGACCCUGCUUUUGUGGGGUGCUCGAGCGGCGAACGGGUGAGUAACACGUGAGUAACCUGCCCUUGACUUUGGGAUAACUUCAGGAAACUGGGGCUAAUACCGGAUAGGAGCUCCUGCUGCAUGGUGGGGGUUGGAAAGUUUCGGCGGUUGGGGAUGGACUCGCGGCUUAUCAGCUUGUUGGUGGGGUAGUGGCUUACCAAGGCUUUGACGGGUAGCCGGCCUGAGAGGGUGACCGGCCACAUUGGGACUGAGAUACGGCCCAGACUCCUACGGGAGGCAGCAGUGGGGAAUAGUGCACAAUGGGCGGAAGCCUGAUGCAGCAACGCCGCGUGCGGGAUGACGGCCUUCGGGUUGUAAACCGCUUUCGCCUGUGACGAAGCGUGAGUGACGGUAAUGGGUAAAGAAGCACCGGCUAACUACGUG